GGAGGGGCCUCCGGCGAGGGGCAGUGGCUUAUACCCACUUCGGCGCCAGAUUAGCGCGGCCAGACAGGUUCGACUCCUGUACCCUCUACCA
Molecule: transfer RNA, 91 nt
Filed under: Terriglobia bacterium
Lineage: Bacteria; Pseudomonadati; Acidobacteriota; Terriglobia
Also listed under: 4 other names
Description: tRNA-Ile
Source: RNAcentral